AGACCCGAAACCCGGUGAUCUAGCCAUGGGCAGGUUGAAGGUUGGGUAACACUAACUGGAGGACCGAACCGACUAAUGUUGAAAAAUUAGCGGAUGACCUGUGGCUGGGGGUGAAAGGCCAAUCAAACCGGGAGAUAGCUGGUUCUCCCCGAAAGCUAUUUAGGUAGCGCCUCGUGAAUUCAUCUCCGGGGGUAGAGCACUGUUUCGGCUAGGGGGCCAUCCCGGCUUACCAACCCGAUGCAAACUGCGAAUACCGGAGAAUGUUAUCACGGGAGACACACGGCGGGUGCUAACGUCCGUCGUGAAGAGGGAAACAACCCAGACCGCCAGCUAAGGUCCCAAAGUCAUGGUUAAGUGGGAAACGAUGUGGGAAGGCCCAGACAGCCAGGAUGUUGGCUUAGAAGCAGCCAUCAUUUAAAGAAAGCGUAAUAGCUCACUGGUCGAGUCGGCCUGCGCGGAAGAUGUAACGGGGCUAAACCAUGCACCGAAGCUGCGGCAGCGACGCUGAUGCGUUGUUGGGUAGGGGAGCGUUCUGUAAGCCUGUGAAGGUGGCCUGUGAGGGUUGCUGGAGGUAUCAGAAGUGCGAAUGCUGACAUAAGUAACGAUAAAGCGGGUGAAAAGCCCGCUCGCCGGAAGACCAAGGGUUCCUGUCCAACGUUAAUCGGGGCAGGGUGAGUCGACCCCUAAGGCGAGGCCGAAAGGCGUAGUCGAUGGGAAACGGGUUAAUAUUCCCGUACUUGGUGUUACUGCGAAGGGGGGACGGAGAAGGCUAUGUUGGCCGGGCGACGGUUGUCCCGGUUUAAGCGUGUAGGUGUGUGUUCCAGGUAAAUCCGGUUCACUUUAACACUGAGGCGUGAUGACGAGGCACUACGGUGCUGAAGCAACAAAUGCCCUGCUUCCAGGAAAAGCCUCUAAGCAUCAGGUAACAUCAAAUCGUACCCCAAACCGACACAGGUGGUCAGGUAGAGAAUACCAAGGCGCUUGAGAGAACUCGGGUGAAGGAACUAGGCAAAAUGGUGCCGUAACUUCGGGAGAAGGCACGCUGACACGUAGGUGAAGUGAUUUACUCAUGGAGCUGAAGUCAGUCGAAGAUACCAGCUGGCUGCAACUGUUUAUUAAAAACACAGCACUGUGCAAACACGAAAGUGGACGUAUACGGUGUGACGCCUGCCCGGUGCCGGAAGGUUAAUUGAUGGGGUCAGCGCAAGCGAAGCUCCUGAUCGAAGCCCCGGUAAACGGCGGCCGUAACUAUAACGGUCCUAAGGUAGCGAAAUUCCUUGUCGGGUAAGUUCCGACCUGCACGAAUGGCGUAAUGAUGGCCAGGCUGUCUCCACCCGAGACUCAGUGAAAUUGAACUCGCUGUGAAGAUGCAGUGUACCCGCGGCAAGACGGAAAGACCCCGUGAACCUUUACUAUAGCUUGACACUGAACAUUGAGCCUUGAUGUGUAGGAUAGGUGGGAGGCUUUGAAGUGUGGACGCCAGUCUGCAUGGAGCCGACCUUGAAAUACCACCCUUUAAUGUUUGAUGUUCUAACGUGGACCCGUGAUCCGGGUUGCGGACAGUGUCUGGUGGGUAGUUUGACUGGGGCGGUCUCCUCCUAAAGAGUAACGGAGGAGCACGAAGGUUGGCUAAUCCUGGUCGGACAUCAGGAGGUUAGUGCAAUGGCAUAAGCCAGCUUGACUGCGAGCGUGACGGCGCGAGCAGGUGCGAAAGCAGGUCAUAGUGAUCCGGUGGUUCUGAAUGGAAGGGCCAUCGCUCAACGGAUAAAAGGUACUCCGGGGAUAACAGGCUGAUACCGCCCAAGAGUUCAUAUCGACGGCGGUGUUUGGCACCUCGAUGUCGGCUCAUCACAUCCUGGGGCUGAAGUAGGUCCCAAGGGUAUGGCUGUUCGCCAUUUAAAGUGGUACGCGAGCUGGGUUUAGAACGUCGUGAGACAGUUCGGUCCCUAUCUGCCGUGGGCGCUGGAGAACUGAGGGGGGCUGCUCCUAGUACGAGAGGACCGGAGUGGACGCAUCACUGGUGUUCGGGUUGUCAUGCCAAUGGCACUGCCCGGUAGCUAAAUGCGGAAGAGAUAAGUGCUGAAAGCAUCUAAGCACGAAACUUGCCCCGAGAUGAGUUCUCCCUGAGACUUAGAGUCUCCUGAAGGAACGUUGAAGACGACGACGUUGAUAGGCCGGGUGUGUAAGCGCAGCGAUGCGUUGAGCUAACCGGUACUAAUGAACCGUGAGGCUUAACCUUACAACGCCGAAG
RNAcentral lists this ribosomal RNA (2251 nucleotides) under Salmonella enterica subsp. enterica. RNAcentral's name for it is "partial 23S ribosomal RNA". It matches the Rfam family "Bacterial large subunit ribosomal RNA", at positions 711 to 2925 of the family's 2925-position model. Lineage: Bacteria; Pseudomonadati; Pseudomonadota; Gammaproteobacteria; Enterobacterales; Enterobacteriaceae. The record is from RNAcentral.